GUGAGGGAAAGGCGAAAAGAACCCCGGCGAGGGGAGUGAAAAAGAACCUGAAACCGUGUACGUACAAGCAGUGGGAGCCUCUUAAUGGGGUGACUGCGUACCUUUUGUAUAAUGGGUCAGCGACUUAUAUUCUGUAGCAAGGUUAACCGAAUAGGGGAGCCGAAGGGAAACCGAGUCUUAACUGGGCGCUAAGUUGCAGGGUAUAGACCCGAAACCCGGUGAUCUAGCCAUGGGCAGGUUGAAGGUUGGGUAACACUAACUGGAGGACCGAACCGACUAAUGUUGAAAAAUUAGCGGAUGACUUGUGGCUGGGGGUGAAAGGCCAAUCAAACCGGGAGAUAGCUGGUUCUCCCCGAAAGCUAUUUAGGUAGCGCCUCGUGAAUUCAUCUCCGGGGGUAGAGCACUGUUUCGGCAAGGGGGUCAUCCCGACUUACCAACCCGAUGCAAACUGCGAAUACCGGAGAAUGUUAUCACGGGAGACACACGGCGGGUGCUAACGUCCGUCGUGAAGAGGGAAACAACCCAGACCGCCAGCUAAGGUCCCAAAGUCAUGGUUAAGUGGGAAACGAUGUGGGAAGGCCCAGACAGCCAGGAUGUUGGCUUAGAAGCAGCCAUCAUUUAAAGAAAGCGUAAUAGCUCACUGGUCGAGUCGGCCUGCGCGGAAGAUGUAACGGGGCUAAACCAUGCACCGAAGCUGCGGCAGCGACACUAUGUGUUGUUGGGUAGGGGAGCGUUCUGUAAGCCUGUGAAGGUGGCCUGUGAGGGUUGCUGGAGGUAUCAGAAGUGCGAAUGCUGACAUAAGUAACGAUAAAGCGGGUGAAAAGCCCGCUCGCCGGAAGACCAAGGGUUCCUGUCCAACGUUAAUCGGGGCAGGGUGAGUCGACCCCUAAGGCGAGGCCGAAAGGCGUAGUCGAUGGGAAACAGGUUAAUAUUCCUGUACUUGGUGUUACUGCGAAGGGGGGACGGAGAAGGCUAUGUUGGCCGGGCGACGGUUGUCCCGGUUUAAGCGUGUAGGCUGGUUUUCCAGGCAAAUCCGGAAAACCAAGGCUGAGGCGUGAUGACGAGGCACUACGGUGCUGAAGCGACAAAUGCCCUGCUUCCAGGAAAAGCCUCUAAGCAUCAGGUAACAUCAAAUCGUACCCCAAACCGACACAGGUGGUCAGGUAGAGAAUACCAAGGCGCUUGAGAGAACUCGGGUGAAGGAACUAGGCAAAAUGGUGCCGUAACUUCGGGAGAAGGCACGCUGAUAUGUAGGUGAAGCGACUUGCUCGUGGAGCUGAAAUCAGUCGAAGAUACCAGCUGGCUGCAACUGUUUAUUAAAAACACAGCACUGUGCAAACACGAAAGUGGACGUAUACGGUGUGACGCCUGCCCGGUGCCGGAAGGUUAAUUGAUGGGGUUAGCGGUAACGCGAAGCUCUUGAUCGAAGCCCCGGUAAACGGCGGCCGUAACUAUAACGGUCCUAAGGUAGCGAAAUUCCUUGUCGGGUAAGUUCCGACCUGCACGAAUGGCGUAAUGAUGGCCAGGCUGUCUCCACCCGAGACUCAGUGAAAUUGAACUCGCUGUGAAGAUGCAGUGUACCCGCGGCAAGACGGAAAGACCCCGUGAACCUUUACUAUAGCUUGACACUGAACAUUGAGCCUUGAUGUGUAGGAUAGGUGGGAGGCUUUGAAGUGUGGACGCCAGUCUGCAUGGAGCCGACCUUGAAAUACCACCCUUUAAUGUUUGAUGUUCUAACGUUGGCCCCUAAUCGGGGUUGCGGACAGUGUCUGGUGGGUAGUUUGACUGGGGCGGUCUCCUCCUAAAGAGUAACGGAGGAGCACGAAGGUUGGCUAAUCCUGGUCGGACAUCAGGAGGUUAGUGCAAUGGCAUAAGCCAGCUUGACUGCGAGCGUGACGGCGCGAGCAGGUGCGAAAGCAGGUCAUAGUGAUCCGGUGGUUCUGAAUGGAAGGGCCAUCGCUCAACGGAUAAAAGGUACUCCGGGGAUAACAGGCUGAUACCGCCCAAGAGUUCAUAUCGACGGCGGUGUUUGGCACCUCGAUGUCGGCUCAUCACAUCCUGGGGCUGAAGUAGGUCCCAAGGGUAUGGCUGUUCGCCAUUUAAAGUGGUACGCGAGCUGGGUUUAGAACGUCGUGAGACAGUUCGGUCCCUAUCUGCCGUGGGCGCUGGAGAACUGAGGGGGGCUGCUCCUAGUACGAGAGGACCGGAGUGGACGCAUCACUGGUGUUCGGGUUGUCAUGCCAAUGGCACUGCCCGGUAGCUAAAUGCGGAAGAGAUAAGUGCUGAAAGCAUCUAAGCACGAAACUUGCCCCGAGAUGAGUUCUCCCUGAGACUUAGAGUCUCCUGAAGGAACGUUGAAG
RNAcentral lists this ribosomal RNA (2360 nucleotides) under Escherichia coli. RNAcentral describes it as "partial 23S ribosomal RNA". It matches the Rfam family "Bacterial large subunit ribosomal RNA", at positions 503 to 2843 of the family's 2925-position model. Lineage: Bacteria; Pseudomonadati; Pseudomonadota; Gammaproteobacteria; Enterobacterales; Enterobacteriaceae. The record is from RNAcentral.